UGCUUCAAUAUGAUGUGCAGUUUGAAUUU
Molecule: non-coding RNA, 29 nt
Filed under: Mus musculus (house mouse)
Lineage: Eukaryota; Metazoa; Chordata; Mammalia; Rodentia; Muridae
Source: RNAcentral